GAUGAACGCUGGCGGCGUGCUUAACACAUGCAAGUCGAACGGAAAGGCCCAAGCUUGCUUGGGUACUCGAGUGGCGAACGGGUGAGUAACACGUGGGUGAUCUGCCCUGCACUUCGGGAUAAGCCUGGGAAACUGGGUCUAAUACCGGAUAGGAACACUUCUUGGAUGUUGUGGUGGAAAGUUUUUUGGGUGUGGGAUGAGCUCGCGGCCUAUCAGCUUGUUGGUUGGGUAAUGGCCUACCAAGGCGUCGACGGGUGGCCGGUCGGGGAAGGUGUGUGGCGACAUUGGGUCUGUGAAUCAGCCCAGGCACCUUCGGGGGGAUGGAGUUGGGAAUAUUGGAGAAAGGGCACAAGCCAGUUGCAACGACGCCGCGGGGGGGGUGACUGGCUUGGGGUUGUAAACUCCUGGCACUAGGGACGAAGCGUUUUGUGACGGGACCUGGUGAAGAAGCACCGGCUAAGUACGUG
Molecule: ribosomal RNA, 467 nt
Filed under: uncultured bacterium
Lineage: Bacteria
Description: partial 16S ribosomal RNA
Rfam family: Bacterial small subunit ribosomal RNA
Source: RNAcentral